AAGGCUGUCAAGUUUAGAGCUAAUGUGGUACAAUUUGAUGGAGGUGUCUGCACAACCCUUGGGAUUUUUACCUCAUUGCACUGCUGUGUGGCUUUUCUGAAAAACAAAGUGGAUGGAGACUCUCCAGCAAAGUCGCAAAGUCGUGGUCUGUGGUGGCUGAUGCGUCUGAACUGACUGAUAAAAAAUGCGUGUUCAAGGUGACAAGCACUCAAGUCUGUAAGGAGGAGUUAAAGCUGCUGAAACACCAAGAUGAAAAGAAACUGUGGAAGAAAGUAGAACUGGAUGAAAGCAGAAGCCUUCUGGAUGAUUCUUGUGAAUUCACAAGAAGCAGAGAUUUGGGAAAAGCUGACCAGGAGAAAAAGCAUGCCCAGCUCUGGAAGGGCUUCUGGCCAUGCUGCCCUUUCGAUUGCACUGAGGAAUGCACUGAAGUCCUACCUGUCCUGGAGAUCCAAGGAACCUCUAGGGAUAUAGCUGAUCAACCUGGCAAUGGAAGGGAAAGCUGUCUGUGCUGCCAUCUGGGAGAGAAGGUAUUGCUACUGUAUCAUGAGCAUCCAUUGUCCCUAGGGCAGUUUUGCAGCCAUUUUGGUUCUGCGGAUGCACAGACCUUGGAAAAUUUAAAUAAUCUUAUCAGAAAGACUUCAUGAAGCAUCACUGUUCUGCCCAGGGAGAGAAUGUUAGAAGUGAGAGGACGUGAUGGUGCAUUUCUGCAGGGAAGUCGGAACAGGAUGUGGUAACAAGAUCAGCAUGUACACACUAUAACAGGGAAUUGCCUCAGAUGGAAGAAUUUUUGAAUUACAGAUACAGGUGCUGUAGGACUGCAAAUUCUACAGCAAAAAAUGCUCUUGAGCACUGGAGGUGCUGUGCACAAAACCACUGCCUCUCACUCGUAGUUUAUGCCUGUGGCUUCGUGAAAUCUGAGCCAGGAAAAAGGAGCCAUUGAUCUCACCUGUGCUGAGUUAUCUCUGGCAGGUCCAACAUGUAAAACAGCAGCUAAUCCUUCUGAUGAUACUUAAGUAUCUCAGGGGCACAGUGGGGAGGAAAAAGCAGCUCUGGGUUUCCAAGGCUCUCAGAGAUCAACACCUACUCCAGUAUAAAAAUGUUUGAAUUGCCUUUACCAUUACUUAAUUUCCAUGCUUACAGGAAUAUAGUGUUUUUCUUUAGCCUCUUGUUUCAAAAAGUGCUAUGUUAUCUUUGACCUAUCCAGUGACAUUUACCAUAGAAAAAUCCUGAAAACACUUUUUAUCUUGCACAUAGUACAAUGAUGGGACACAAACUUACUUCAUAAGCUAAUGGACAAUAGGGAGACAUUUUAAACAAAAUCUUGGAAGCCUGCCCUUUAUAUUACUUAAUUUUUUAGACAUUACACAUUUAAGGGCUGGGCUUUCAAGGGCUAAUAAAAGUUAUUUCCUGGUAUUUAGCUCAACAAAUUAAACUUAAGCUAUUUAGUUUAGCUGCAGGAUGUCAAAUUCCCCAGUUGAAAAUAUUGUUAGGUAUCUAGAUUUAAACCUUUAUAUAUACUAAAGUAAAAUAAAAAGUGAAUGCCAAUAAAUAGUAUAACUGGUGACACUGUUACAACCACCCACAGGAGUCUAUCAGGAGCACUUGUUCUUUACAAAUGCCUUCUCUUUCUGCAGGAAUCUACUGGCAUGUGUGGGGAUAACAUUCCAACACUUCUCAUGCUGUUCUGCAAGCUGUGUAUUUUAUGAGAAGCCACUAACACUGGAGCCAGGGGGAGAGGGAAGGAGUAGCAACAUCUGGGAAGACAUGUCUCUAACCACAUCUGUCUCGCAGCCAAGGCCAGUGACCCUGAGCUCUGGAAGGGAAAGUUCCAAACAUUCACUCAUUAUCAGCUACUAUGCCAAAACAAAGACCUGUGCUUCAGCAGUCUGGGGAAAGAAGAUAAUCCAGGAGUAACUUCCCAAGAACUUCACUACUUAAGAGAUUUAUUUUUCACCCACAAGGUAACACAGGCAAGUGCUACUGCAAGGAAAGCAUCA
This 1997-nucleotide long non-coding RNA is filed under the name Ficedula albicollis (Collared flycatcher). Its description in RNAcentral is "lncRNA (ENSFALG00000024981.1)". Lineage: Eukaryota; Metazoa; Chordata; Aves; Passeriformes; Muscicapidae. The record is from RNAcentral.